UGAGGAAUAUUGCGCAAUGGGCGAAAGCCUGACGCAGCGACGCCGCGUGAAGGAUGAAGGUCUUCGGAUUGUAAACUUCUGUUGAACGGGAAGAAAGACCUGUUAGUAAUAUGAACAGGGGAUGACGUUACCGUUAAAGAAAGCACCGGCUAACUUCGUGCCAGCAGCCGCGGUAAUACGAGGGGUGCAAGCGUUAUUCGGAAUUACUGGGCGUAAAGGGUGUGUAGACGGUAUCUUAAGUCUGUUGUUAAAGACCUCGGCCCAACCGGGGAAAGGCAAUAGAUACUGGGAAACUAGAGGGUGGAAGAGAGAAGUGGAAUUCUCGGAGUAGCGGUCAAAUGCGUAGAUCUCGAGAGGAACACCGAUGGCGAAAGCAGCUUCUUGGUCCAUUCCUGACGUU
This 400-nucleotide ribosomal RNA is filed under the name uncultured bacterium. RNAcentral's name for it is "bacterial SSU rRNA". It matches the Rfam family "Bacterial small subunit ribosomal RNA", at positions 355 to 747 of the family's 1533-position model. The record is from RNAcentral.